AGGGUGUUUGCUGUGUUGUGUGUUGCUUGCGGUGCCGGUCUCUGCUGGUUUAGUCCACAAGUUGCAGGCUGAAGGAUUAUCCCCACGUUUACCUUCCAUUGAAGAUAUAGCGUGAACUGAUAAAGAUUUUGACGGUCUUGACAAACUCCUUGUUAUUGUUCGAAAAGUGUUUGAAAUGUCUAAUAGUGGUGGUGACAAUAGCAACUUAGGUUCUUCUUCUU
RNAcentral lists this unclassified non-coding RNA (221 nucleotides) under Hevea brasiliensis (rubber tree). Lineage: Eukaryota; Viridiplantae; Streptophyta; Magnoliopsida; Malpighiales; Euphorbiaceae. The record is from RNAcentral.